AAGAGGCCAGACCAGCUAGAGGGUGGGUGUCUGACAUGCUGAGGGGGCAGGGGCAGGGCCUGGAGAAUAAGAGUGGCACCUCUCAAGCCCAGGCUCAAGCUCAAGGACAGAGCCCAGGCUCAGGUAGAGAGGAACCACAAGGACGGGCCACCAUCGGCACUGCGCUGAGACCCAGGCACUAUAGAAUUCAGAAGAUAGGAGUCUAGCAGCCUCCAGACAGGGCAAGGAGGGGACAGAGAAAGAUGUGGGUGCAGGACGCACAGACACCUCUCCUUCCCUGCCUGCUGAGCCACCCUCACCAGGCCCUCGGGAUCAGGUCCAAGUUCUUCUGCCUGGCGCUCAGUGGCAUCAUCUUCCGCUGACCUACAUUUCCAGCCAUAUCAUUCAUUUCUCCCACCUCAAACGCCAGCCUCCACCAUCCAGGACGAUUCACAGGUGAGAAAUCUGCAGUGAAGAAAGGUACAUCCCAAGGGGACACCGACAGUAAGCAGCGGAGCUGGGAUUCCAGACACGUGGCUGGGCCUCUGCAGGAAGAAAUCAAACGUGUGGAAGGGUUGGGGAGAGGAGAUGCCUAGAAGGGAUUUUCCUGUAUUCUCUUAGUGGUGGGGCCCAGGAUGUGGCAGCUGGUGGUGUUGGCUGAGCAGUCCCUCUCCAGGGGAAGGGGCUGGAUGAGUUCAGAGAGUUUGGCUGGGCGUGCCAGGCGCAACAGCAUGAUGUCCUGGUCAUGGCUGGCGGCAUCAUAGUCAGGGUGGAUCACAGCCCGGACAACAGAACUCUGCUCCUGGGAACUCUCCCUUUGCCGAAGGUUAUGCUUCCCCAGGAAGACCUGAAGAUUCCUGGGAAGGAAGAGGGCUGGGUCUCACCUGGAGCCCUUGGGCUGCAGUUGAGGCUUCAGAGAGGGCUGGGAAGUCAUGAAUCGCUGGCCUGCUCCUCCCA
RNAcentral lists this long non-coding RNA (936 nucleotides) under Homo sapiens (human). Its description in RNAcentral is "PREDICTED lncRNA (TCONS_00135442)". Lineage: Eukaryota; Metazoa; Chordata; Mammalia; Primates; Hominidae. The record is from RNAcentral.